RNAcentral lists this ribosomal RNA (504 nucleotides) under uncultured bacterium. RNAcentral's name for it is "partial 16S ribosomal RNA". It matches the Rfam family "Bacterial small subunit ribosomal RNA", at positions 29 to 523 of the family's 1533-position model. The record is from RNAcentral.
AUUGAACGCUGGCGGCAGGCCUAACACAUGCAAGUCGGACGGUAGCACAGAGAGCUUGCUCUUGGGUGACGAGUGGCGGACGGGUGAGUAAUGUCUGGGGAUCUGCCCGAUAGAGGGGGAUAACCACUGGAAACGGUGGCUAAUACCGCAUAACGUCGCAAGACCAAAGAGGGGGACCUUCGGGCCUCUCACUAUCGGAUGAACCCAGAUGGGAUUAGCUAGUAGGCGGGGUAAUGGCCCACCUAGGCGACGAUCCCUAGCUGGUCUGAGAGGAUGACCAGCCAAAAUGGAAAUGAGACACGGACCAGAAUCCUACGGGAGGCAGCAGUGGGGAAUAUUGCAUAAUGGGCGAAAGCCUGAUGCAGCCAUGCCGCGUGUAUGAAGAAGGCCUUCGGGUUGUAAAGUACUUUCAGCGGGGAGGAAGGCGACGAGGUUAAUAACCGCGUCGAUUGACGUUACCCGCAGAAGAAGCACCGGCUAACUCCGUGCCAGCCGCCGCGGUAA